AAUCAACGCUGGCGGCGUGCCUAACACAUGCAAGUCGAACGAGAAAGUGGAGCAAUCCAUGAGUACAGUGGCGACCGGGUGAGUAACACGUGACUACCUACCCUUGAGUGGGGGAUAACCUCGGGAAACCGAGGCUAAUACCGCAUAAUAUCGAGAGAUCAAAGGAGCAAUUCGCUUUUGGAGGGGGUCGCGGCUGAUUAGCUAGUUGGCGGGGUAAUGGCCCACCAAGGCGAAGAUCGGUAUCCGGCCUGAGAGGGCGCACGGACACACUGGAACUGAAACACGGUCCAGACUCCUACGGGAGGCAGCAGUGGGAAUUUUGCGCAAUGGGGGAAACCCUGACGCAGCAACGCCGCGUGGAGGAUGAAGCCCCUUGGGGGUGUAAACUCCUUUCGACCGGGAAAAUAAUGAUGGGUACCGGUGGAAGAAGCACCGGGCUAACUCUGU
Molecule: ribosomal RNA, 447 nt
Filed under: uncultured bacterium
Lineage: Bacteria
Description: bacterial SSU rRNA
Rfam family: Bacterial small subunit ribosomal RNA
Source: RNAcentral